Molecule: non-coding RNA, 412 nt
Organism: Myotis lucifugus (little brown bat)
Lineage: Eukaryota; Metazoa; Chordata; Mammalia; Chiroptera; Vespertilionidae
Source: the annotation of a RefSeq genome assembly
GGCUGCGCUCACCAUGGCCUGGACCCCUGUGCUCCUCGUGCUCCUCGCUCACUGCACAGGGUCCCUCUCCCAGCCUGUGCUGACUCAGCCGCCCUCCCUCUCUGCAUCUCUGGGAGCCACAGCCAGACUCACCUGCACCCUGAGCAGUGACGCCAGUGUUGGUGGUAAAAACAUGUACUGGUACCAGCAGAAGCCAGGGAGCGCUCCCCGGUAUUUUCUGUACUACUACUCAGACUCAGACAAGGAGCUGGGACCUGGGGUCCCCAGUCGAGUCUCUGGAUCCAAAGACGCCUCGACCAACACAGCGCAUCUGCUCAUCUCGGGGCUACAGCCUGAGGACGAGGCUGACUAUUACUGCGUUACAGAUCAUGGCAGUGGGAGCAGCUUUCGUUACACACAGUGUCUCAGAUGA